RNAcentral lists this ribosomal RNA (1020 nucleotides) under Clostridioides difficile. RNAcentral describes it as "bacterial LSU rRNA". It matches the Rfam family "Bacterial large subunit ribosomal RNA", at positions 811 to 1849 of the family's 2925-position model. The record is from RNAcentral. Lineage: Bacteria; Bacillati; Bacillota; Clostridia; Peptostreptococcales; Peptostreptococcaceae.
GUGGGUAGCGGUGAAAUUCCAAUCGAGCCCGGAGAUAGCUGGUUCUCCCCGAAAUAGCUUUAGGGCUAGCCUCAAGGUGAGAGAUACGGAGGUAGAGCACUGAAUGUCCUAGGGGGUAUUGCACCUACCGAAGACUAUCAAACUCCGAAUGCCGUCAUCUUAUACUUGGGAGUCAGACUGUGGGUGAUAAGAUUCAUAGUCGAAAGGGCAACAGCCCAGAUCGUCAGCUAAGGUCCCUAAAUGUAAGUUAAGUGGUAAAGGAUGUGGGAUUGCACAGACAACCAGGAUGUUGGCUUAGAAGCAGCCACUCAUUCAAAGAGUGCGUAAUAGCUCACUGGUCGAGUGAUCCUGCGCCGAAGAUUUCCGGGGCUAAAACUUACUACCGAAGCUACGGCAUCAGUAAUGAUGGGUAGGGGAGCUUCCCAUACAGGUUGAAGCAUGACCGUAAGGACAUGUGGACAGUAUGGGAGUGAGAAUGUUGGCAUGAGUAGCGAGAUGUGGGUGAGAAUCCCACAGGCCGUAAACCCAAGGUUUCCAGGGGAAGGGUCGUCCGCCCUGGGUUAGUCGGGACCUAAGCUGAGGCCGAAAGGCGUAGGUGAUGGACAACAGGUUGAUAUUCCUGUACUACCGAUAACCGUUUGAGAGAGGGGAUGACACAGUAGGAUAAGCUAAGCACACUGUUGGUUAUGUGUGCCCAAGCAUUGAGGCAGUCAAAGUAGGCAAAUCCGCUUUGAUAAUGCUGGGAUGUGAUGGGGAGCGAAAUUUAGUAGCGAAGUAGCUGAUUUCACACUGUCAAGAAAAGUCUCUAUCGAGGUUAAAGGUACCCGUACCGCAAACCGACACAGGUGGGUGAGGAGAGUAUCCUAAGGCCAGCGAGAGAACUGUUGUUAAGGAACUCGGCAAAAUGACCCCGUAACUUAGGGAUAAGGGGUGCCACCAUCAGGUGGCCGCAGAGAAUAGGCCCAAGCGACUGUUUACCAAAAACAUAGGUUUCUGCUAAGUCGCAAGACGAUGUAUAGG